Molecule: RNA transcript, 1410 nt
Organism: Aplysia californica (California sea hare)
Lineage: Eukaryota; Metazoa; Mollusca; Gastropoda; Aplysiida; Aplysiidae
Exons: 7
Source: RefSeq, a predicted model, not a curated record
UGACGUAGUUGGUCCCGUAAAGGGGAAUAACUAGCAGGCUGCCAUUUCUUUAUUUCAUUGUUAUGUCCCUUGUUUUUGGCGGUCUACUAUUCGCUUUUUUUCUUUUCAUUUUUUUCAUUGUUAUGUCCCUUGUUUUCACUUUUUUAUUAUUCGCUUUUUUUCUUUUCAAUUUACAUUUUCGUAAUUAAAAUUAUUUCAACCUCCAAGCGCUAUAGCUUCAUGAAUUUUCCCGGAACCUCACCAUCUAGACGAAAUUACAAAUUGUAUAGAUCGAGAUCUAGAAGAUCUAGAUCUAGAUCUAGAUCUAGAGUAAGAUCUUAAACUAAUUCUUUGGUUUCGAAGUGACCAACCCAUUUUCAAAGUUUGAUGACGCGCUGCAAUUUAAAAUUCUUUGUUGACAGUUUGCUAUCACUUUAUCAGCUGAGUCCACAUUCUGGCUUUGGCUGUACUAAAGACUUUAGGGAAGAAUCUGAUCUGGAAUAAGCCAAACAUCAUUAGAUCUAGAUCUAGAUCUAGAUUCUAGAUGUACACAUCAAAGGAAGAAGCUUCGACGUUCGAAGCCGGUGGGGAGAUAUUUGCUCACAAGACAAACGUGUGUGCCUCAGUGACAGAGACCUGGUCUAUCUCCUGGACACGAGGAGAGAGCAAAGGUCAACCAGAAACUGGAGGAGGCUGUUUCCAUCUGUACUUUCAACCUGUGCUGAAAGUGGCUUGAAAGAGCAUCAAAACUGGUCCCUCACACCGGUGGAGCAACUGGCUGUUGCUAUGGAGAGAAGCUUUCUACGUAAAACAUCAUCUUUUUCCGAGUUGAACAUUCCAAAAAUUCCUGCUGGCCCAGCCACUGGAAGUGAGGGUGUUUCUGAAAACUUGCACAAUGGGCGUGAUCCCAACAGUCGUCUGUACCUGAGUGCCAAAGAAAUCUCGCCCUUCCUUGAGAUACCGCCAUAGUUCUCAACACUACACUCAACCAUUCACCUAAGAAACGCGAUUCUACAGACGGGCAGUGUUCCCUGCCGUAUGUGAGAGACGAUCCCUGUGGUCUGAGGCCGGUCAAGCCAGUGCCGAUAUGGAGUCAGUAUCUCUCUGACCGCUCCUCUCUACCUGUGUGUGGGAAGAAAACUGUGAUGUCUUCAGAACGUCAGAACCUGACAGAAAUGUUCAGCUAUCUGUCCGGAGAACAUUCACGACGCUACCAUGUUGAAGGGGACAUCAGCGCUGCUUACUCAGAGAUGGUCAUCAACAGGACCUGUCGGUAGAUUUGACUGGACGAAAGAUGAAGCAGACAAAGAGAUGUGGAUAACUGAGUGGAUCUGUGUGGAUCGGAAAAAACCCUCAUAUCUAGCUCAUCCCGAAUAUUCCCCACUAUUUUUUAGCUCAUCCCCAGUAUUUUUUUAUAUGAUCCCUAUUAUU